AAACUCUUUUGAUUGGCAUCCUCAAAGUCAGAGCUUCGAAAUAAUGGUCUUCCAUGCUGCUUGUUGAAAACAAUAACCAGUGCAGAUGGUGUUCACUUGAAUCAAGGUCUUUUGUCCUUAAAUCCUCUAUUAGAAAACUACCUUUUGGACAGGAGAGAAGCGUUUUCUUCCGUCCAUUUAACAGAGAUUAGAGAUCAUUUCCUUCAUGGCUGAGCUCACCCAGCAGAUGAAGAACGGCUUCUUCCCCAUGGUUGAAGGCAUCAAAUGUGGCAACAAUGGCAAGCAUCAAGAUAAAGGCUCUGAAGAUAGAGGUAAAGCCAAGUUGAGAACAGUGCAGGAUAGAGGGAUCCAAGUAGCAGCGCUGUGUGGCCCAAACCCCCCAGCACCAAACAAAUCACCUCCUCCACAGCAUAAUUGAGAUAGAAGCAUAGGUCAUGUCAAUUGCUGCUUCCUCCUGAUCUUCUACUGCGGUCUCUAGUUGUUUCUUUUGCCAGGAUAUAACCUAGUGCGAAGCCUUCCUACUGCAGUGUUUAUCUGUUAAAUAAUAAUCUAUGUUUUAGAUAUUUGGUGGAGGAGUAUCUCAUAUCUGAAUUUUGGUUGCGUCGUAUGUUGAAGUGGUCAUCUAGUAGUUUUUAAUACGGAAUGUAAUAAGCGGUCUAUUGAUGUUAAAAACCAUGCACCAGAGAUAAUUUAAGCAGAAAGAUGGAAAAUAUCUAGGCGGUUGUAUUCUCUUA
Molecule: non-coding RNA, 734 nt
Organism: Elaeis guineensis (African oil palm)
Lineage: Eukaryota; Viridiplantae; Streptophyta; Magnoliopsida; Arecales; Arecaceae
Source: RefSeq, a predicted model, not a curated record